CUCGUAGGCGGCCAACUAAGUCAGACGUGAAAUCCCUCGGCGUUAACCGGGGAACUGCGUCUGAUACUGGAUGGCUUGUAGUUUGGGAGAGGGAUGCGGAAUUCCAGGUGUAGCGGUGAAAUGCGUAGAUAUCUGGAGGAACACCGGUGGCGAAGGCGGCAUCCUGGACCAAUACUGACGCUGAGGAGCGAAAGCCAGGGAGCAAACG
This 208-nucleotide ribosomal RNA is filed under the name uncultured bacterium. RNAcentral describes it as "partial 16S ribosomal RNA". It matches the Rfam family "Bacterial small subunit ribosomal RNA", at positions 568 to 774 of the family's 1533-position model. The record is from RNAcentral.